CCUACGGCGGGCAGCAGUGGGGAAUAUUGGACAAUGGGCGAAAGCCUGAUCCAGCCAUGCCGCGUGUGUGAAGAAGGCCUUCGGGUUGUAAAGCACUUUCAGUGGGGAAGAAAGCCUUGGGGCUAAUACCCUCGAGGAAGGACAUCACCCACAGAAGAAGCACCGGCUAACUCCGUGCCAGCAGCCGCGGUAAUACGGAGGGUGCGAGCGUUAAUCGGAAUUACUGGGCGUAAAGCGCGCGUAGGCGGUCUGAUAAGCCGGUUGUGAAAGCCCCGGGCUCAACCUGGGAACGGCAUCCGGAACUGUCAGGCUAGAGUGCAGGAGAGGAAGGUAGAAUUCCCGGUGUAGCGGUGAAAUGCGUAGAGAUCGGGAGGAAUACCAGUGGCGAAGGCGGCCUUCUGGACUGACACUGACGCUGAGGUGCGAAAGCGUGGGUAGCAAACAGGAUUAGAUACCCGAGUAGUC
RNAcentral lists this ribosomal RNA (465 nucleotides) under Vreelandella stevensii. Its description in RNAcentral is "partial 16S ribosomal RNA". It matches the Rfam family "Bacterial small subunit ribosomal RNA", at positions 338 to 795 of the family's 1533-position model. Lineage: Bacteria; Pseudomonadati; Pseudomonadota; Gammaproteobacteria; Oceanospirillales; Halomonadaceae. The record is from RNAcentral.